GCCUGGCUGGCUCAGUUGGUAGAGGAUGCGACUCUUACUCUCAGGGUUGUGAGUUCAAGCCCCACCUUGGGCA
RNAcentral lists this transfer RNA (73 nucleotides) under Ailuropoda melanoleuca (giant panda). It matches the Rfam family "tRNA". Rfam says of the family: Transfer RNA (tRNA) molecules are approximately 80 nucleotides in length. The record is from Rfam by way of RNAcentral. Lineage: Eukaryota; Metazoa; Chordata; Mammalia; Carnivora; Ursidae.